GAUGAACGCUGGCGGCGUGCCUAAUACAUGCAAGUCGAGCGAACGGACGAGAAGCUUGCUUCUCUGAUGUUAGCGGCGGACGGGUGAGUAACACGUGGAUAACCUACCUAUAAGACUGGGAUAACUUCGGGAAACCGGAGCUAAUACCGGAUAAUAUUUUGAAACGCAUGGUUCAAAAGUGAAAGACGGUCUUGCUGUCACUUAUAGAUGGAUCCGCGCUGCAUUAGCUAGUUGGUAAGGUAACGGCUUACCAAGGCAACGAUGCAUAGCCGACUUGAGAGGGUGAUCGGCCACACUGGAACUGAGACACGGUCCAGACUCCUACGGGAGGCAGCAGUAGGGAAUCUUCCGCAAUGGGCGAAAGCCUGACGGAGCAACGCCGCGUGAGUGAUGAAGGUCUUCGGAUCGUAAAACUCUGUUAUUAGGGAAGAACAUAUGUGUAAGUAACUGUACACAUCUUGACGGUACCUAAUCAGAAAGCCACGGCUAACUACGUG
RNAcentral lists this ribosomal RNA (497 nucleotides) under uncultured bacterium. RNAcentral's name for it is "partial 16S ribosomal RNA". It matches the Rfam family "Bacterial small subunit ribosomal RNA", at positions 28 to 507 of the family's 1533-position model. The record is from RNAcentral.